Molecule: ribosomal RNA, 495 nt
Filed under: uncultured bacterium
Lineage: Bacteria
Description: partial 16S ribosomal RNA
Rfam family: Bacterial small subunit ribosomal RNA
Source: RNAcentral
GAUGAACGCUGGCGGCGUGCCUAAUACAUGCAAGUAGAACGCUGAAGGAGGAGCUUGCUCUUCUGGAUGAGUUGCGAACGGGUGAGUAACGCGUAGGUAACCUGCCUGGUAGCGGGGGAUAACUAUUGGAAACGAUAGCUAAUACCGCAUGACAACAGUUAUUGCAUGAUAACUGUUUAAAAGGGGCAACUGCUCCACUACCAGAUGGACCUGCGUUGUAUUAGCUAGUUGGUGAGGUGACGGCUCACCAAGGCGACGAUACAUAGCCGACCUGAGAGGGUGAUCGGCCACACUGGGACUGAGACACGGCCCAGACUCCUACGGGAGGCAGCAGUAGGGAAUCUUCGGCAAUGGACGGAAGUCUGACCGAGCAACGCCGCGUGAGUGAAGAAGGUUUUCGGAUCGUAAAGCUCUGUUGUAAGAGAAGAACGAGUGUGAGAGUGGAAAGUUCACACUGUGACGGUAUCUUACCAGAAAGGGACGGCUAACUACGUG